This 257-nucleotide ribosomal RNA is filed under the name uncultured bacterium. RNAcentral's name for it is "partial 16S ribosomal RNA". It matches the Rfam family "Bacterial small subunit ribosomal RNA", at positions 524 to 776 of the family's 1533-position model. The record is from RNAcentral.
UACGAAGGGGGGCUAGCGUUGUUCGGAUUUUACUGGGCGUAAAAGCGCACGUAGGCGGAUCGUUAAGUUAGGGGUGAAAUCCUGGAGCUCAACUCCAGAACUGCCUCUAAUACUGGCGAUCUAGAGUCCGGAAAGAGGUGAGUGGAACUCCUAGUGUAGAGGUGGAAUUCGUAGAUAUUAGGAAGAACACCAGUGGCGAAGGCGGCUCACUGGUCCGGUACUGACGCUGAGGUGCGAAAGCGUGGGGAGCAAACAGG